UACGUAGGGGGCUAGCGUUGUCCGGAAUCAUUGGGCGUAAAGCGCGUGUAGGCGGUCCGGUAAGUCCGCUGUGAAAGUCGGGGGCUCAACCCUCGGAUGCCGGUGGAUACUGUCGGGCUUGAGUACGGAAGAGGCGAGUGGAAUUCCUGGUGUAGCGGUGAAAUGCGCAGAUAUCAGGAGGAACACCAGUGGCGAAGGCGACUACCUGGCCUGUUCUUGACGCUGAGAAGCGAAAGCAUGGGGAGCGAACAGG
Molecule: ribosomal RNA, 253 nt
Filed under: uncultured bacterium
Lineage: Bacteria
Description: partial 16S ribosomal RNA
Rfam family: Bacterial small subunit ribosomal RNA
Source: RNAcentral